RNAcentral lists this ribosomal RNA (794 nucleotides) under Phelsuma grandis (Madagascar giant day gecko). Its description in RNAcentral is "partial 12S ribosomal RNA". It matches the Rfam family "Bacterial small subunit ribosomal RNA", at positions 26 to 1380 of the family's 1533-position model. Lineage: Eukaryota; Metazoa; Chordata; Lepidosauria; Squamata; Gekkonidae. The record is from RNAcentral.
AUUAUUUAUUUAAAGUAUUACACAUGCCAGUCUCCGCAUCCCAGUGCCAAAACCCAAAAACUGAAGAUCAGAUAUGAAAUGAUAUCAGGUACGCUACACCCAGCAGCCAACGACAUCUAGCAUAGCCACACCCCCACGGAACUCAGCAGUGAUAAACAUUAAGCCAUGAGCUAAAGCUCGACUUAGACAAAAUGAACCAGGACCGGUAAACUUCGUGCCAGCCACCGCGGUUAUACGAAGGGUCCAAGAUAAUAUUAACGGCGUAAAGUGUGACCAGAGAGACCUAAAAGAUUAUAGAACCAUAAAUUAGUAGUAAAAUACACACAUUUACAGGACUACCCAUUAAUAAUCUACGCAUACCUUGACUCACGAACGCUGGAACACAAACUAGGAUUAGAUACCCUACUAUGCCAGCCGUAAACUAAAGCAAUAUAUCUACCAAUUUGCUCGCCAGAAAACUACACGCGAAAGCACAAAAUUCAAAGGACUUGACGGUGUUCCACAUCAACCUAGAGGAGCCUGUCCUGUAAUCGACGAUCCACGUUAUACCUCACCCACUUUUGAUACAACAGCCUAUAUACCGCCGUCGUCAGCUCAUCUAAUGAUAGAACCAAAAUGAGCAAAAGUGUAUAUCACCAAAACGUCAGGUCAAGGUGUAGCUUAUAAGUGGGCAUGAGAUGGGCUACAUUUUUUAGACUAAAAAAUACAGCAAGAAAAAUGAAACAUAGACUAUUAAAGGUGGAUUUAGCAGUAAAUAUGUGCAAGAAGUGCCAUAUUGAACUUAGCUCUGGAAC